AGCGAACGCUGGCGGCAGGCCUAACACAUGCAAGUCGAACGAACCUUUCGGGGUUAGUGGCGGACGGGUGAGUAACACGUGGGAACGUUCCUUUAGGUUCGGAAUAACUCAGGGAAACUUGUGCUAAUACCGAAUGUUCCCUUCGGGGGCAAGAUUUAUCGCCUUUAGAGCGGCCCGCGUCUGAUUAGCUAGUUGGUUGAGGUAAUGUCUCACCAAGGCGACGAUCAGUAGCUGGUCUGAGAGGAUGAUCAGCCACAUUGGGACUGAGACACGGCCCAAACUCCUACGGGAGGCAGCAGUGGGGAAUGUUGAGCAAUGGGCGAAAGCCGGACGCAGCCAUGCCGCGUGAAUGAUGAAGGUGUUAGGAUUGGAAAAGUCUUUGGACGGGGACGAUAAUGACGGUACCCGGAGAAGAAGCGCCGGCUAACUUCGUG
Molecule: ribosomal RNA, 434 nt
Filed under: uncultured bacterium
Lineage: Bacteria
Description: partial 16S ribosomal RNA
Rfam family: Bacterial small subunit ribosomal RNA
Source: RNAcentral